AGCUCCAAUAGCGUAUACUAAAGUUGUUGCAGUUAAAAAGCUCGUAGUUGGAUUUCUGACAGGGGCGACUGGUGGGGCUCGCAAGGGUCCCGACUUACGUUGGCUCUUGUCAUCCUUGGGGAGAGCCUUGCUGCCAUUAGCUUGGUGGUUUGGGGAUCCUCAUCGUUUACUGUGAAAAAAUUAGAGUGUUCAAAGCAGGCUUAGGCCCUGAAUACAUUAGCAUGGAAUAAUAAGAUAGGACCUCGGCGGUCUAUUUUGUUGGUUUGCACGCCAAGGUAAUGAUUAAUAGGGAUAGUUGGGGGUAUUCGUAUUCAAUUGUCAGAGGUGAAAUUCUUGGAUUUAUGGAAGACGAACUACUGCGAAAGCAUUUACCAAGGAUGUUUUCA
RNAcentral lists this ribosomal RNA (386 nucleotides) under uncultured eukaryote. RNAcentral's name for it is "SSU rRNA". It matches the Rfam family "Eukaryotic small subunit ribosomal RNA", at positions 587 to 972 of the family's 1831-position model. The record is from RNAcentral.